RNAcentral lists this unclassified non-coding RNA (287 nucleotides) under Hevea brasiliensis (rubber tree). The record is from RNAcentral. Lineage: Eukaryota; Viridiplantae; Streptophyta; Magnoliopsida; Malpighiales; Euphorbiaceae.
AUUGUUUAGGGUAAACACACACAACUUGAUUCCCUUGGCCACUAUCUUAGUAAUCUAAGAUUGUCAAGAUUUGCAUGCUGCUUUAAAUUGGUGAUUGGCAUUCAAAAUAAAGUUGUUGAAUUGGAUAGUGUGAUGAUUAAGAUUCUACAAGUGUUAUUCACUAGUAUUGUUGAUAAGAAGUGCUUGGUAAUAUACUAUGCAGCUGUAACAAUAUCAAAUUUCAAAAACUAGAAGUUAUUUUUUUUUCAGUGCUUAUCAUAUGGAUAAUAUUUACAUAAUAAAGCUUG